Molecule: transfer RNA, 66 nt
Filed under: Polydesmus sp. GZCS-2019
Lineage: Eukaryota; Metazoa; Arthropoda; Diplopoda; Polydesmida; Polydesmidae
Description: tRNA-Asn
Source: RNAcentral
UUAGUUGAAGCCAAAACUAGAGGCGAGUUUUUGUUAAGAACUUAAUAGAGUUUAACUCCGACUAAG